AUACGUAGGUGGCGAGCGUUAUCCGGAAUUACUGGGUGUAAAGGGUGUGUAGGCGGGAAGGCAAGUCGGAUGUGAAAAUUAUGGGCUCAACCCAUAAAGUGCGACCGAAACUGUUUUUCUUGAGGAUCGGAGAGGUAAUGAGAAUUCCCGGUGUAGCGGUGAAAUGCGCAGAGAUCGGGAGGAAUACCGGUGGCGAAGGCGAAUUACUGGACGAUAACUGACGCUGAGACACGAAAGCGUGGGGAGCAAACAGGAUUAGAUACCCUGGUAGUCCACGCUGUAAACGAUGAAUACUAGGUGUUGGGAGACAAUAGUUUCUCGGUGCCGCAGCAAACGCAAUAAGUAUUCCACCUGGGGAGUACGUUCGCAAGAAUGAAACUCAAAUGAAUUGACGGGG
Molecule: ribosomal RNA, 397 nt
Filed under: uncultured bacterium
Lineage: Bacteria
Description: partial 16S ribosomal RNA
Rfam family: Bacterial small subunit ribosomal RNA
Source: RNAcentral